Molecule: small RNA, 525 nt
Filed under: Pongo abelii (Sumatran orangutan)
Lineage: Eukaryota; Metazoa; Chordata; Mammalia; Primates; Hominidae
Description: processed transcript
Source: RNAcentral
AGUGUGGUUUUGCCUUCGAGGAGGGGUGCCCAGCGGUGAUGCCCAGGAGAGGAAAUGGAAACCUGGAGCUGGGAGUGAGGGGAGGAGACAGAUUUCUGCAGACUCUACAUUUUGGAGAGAAACAGAAAAGAAUGUCCCCAAGUCUCCUUUGCCCUGCGAUGCUGGGGCGAUUGGCAAGGUCCCAAGAGAAGCACAACGGUAACCGACAACCGACGCUGCCCUCGGCUGAACUGUUAAAUCCUUCGGAUGGAUGCUGGAAUCGACCUUGGUCUCUAGUUCGACUCCCGUGCAACGUGUUGAGGAGGAGCCACCUCCUCCAAGCACCUAAAGCCGACCCAGAAACGCCUCCCAAUCCCUCCACGCCGCGGCUCCCGGGAUCCGAAGCUGGGUAGCUGCUUCUGUCCAAUCAGGGCUUCGCAUCCCGGGACGCUUCCGGUUAUGGCGUCAUUACGCAGCCAGGGAUGAGACAGGAGCCUAUCUGAUUGACAGGGACCCCACCUACUUUGGUCCUAUCCUAAACUACCU